AUUGAACGCUGGCGGCAUGCUUUACACAUGCAAGUCGAACGGUAACAGGGUGCUUGCACCGCUGACGAGUGGCGAACGGGUGAGUAAUGCGUCGGAACGUGCCGAGUAGUGGGGGAUAACGCAGCGAAAGUUGUGCUAAUACAGCAUACGUACUGAGGUAGAAAGUGGGGGACCUUCGGGCCUCACGCUAUUCGAGCGGCCGACGUCUGAUUAACUAGUAGGUGGGGGAAAGGCUCACCUAGGCGACGAUCAGUAGCGGGUCUGAGAGGAUGAUCCGCCACACUGGGACUGAGACACGGCCCAGACUCCUACGGGAGGCAGCAGUGGGGAAUUUUGGACAAUGGGCGAAAGCCUGAUCCAGCCAUGCCGCGUGUCUGAAGAGGCCUUCGGGUUGUAAAGGACUUUUGUCAGGGAGGAAAUCCCUAGUGCUAAUAACACUGGGGGAUGACAGUACCUGAAGAAUAAGCACCGGCUAACUACGUGCCAGCAGCCGCAGUAA
This 499-nucleotide ribosomal RNA is filed under the name uncultured bacterium. Its description in RNAcentral is "partial 16S ribosomal RNA". It matches the Rfam family "Bacterial small subunit ribosomal RNA", at positions 30 to 523 of the family's 1533-position model. The record is from RNAcentral.